AUUGAACGCUGGCGGCAUGCUUUACACAUGCAAGUCGAACGGCAGCGCGGGCUUCGGCCUGGCGGCGAGUGGCGAACGGGUGAGUAAUACAUCGGAACGUGCCCAGUAGUGGGGGAUAGCUCGGCGAAAGCCGGAUUAAUACCGCAUACGACCUGAGGGUGAAAGCGGGGGAUCUUCGGACCUCGCGCUAUUGGAGCGGCCGAUGGCAGAUUAGCUAGUUGGUUGGGUAAAGGCCUACCAAGGCGACGAUCUGUAGCUGGUCUGAGAGGACGACCAGCCACACUGGGACUGAGACACGGCCCAGACUCCUACGGGAGGCAGCAGUGGGGAAUUUUGGACAAUGGGCGAAAGCCUGAUCCAGCAAUGCCGCGUGUGUGAUGAAGGCCUUCGGGUUGUAAAGCACUUUUGGCGGGAACGAAAAGGACUGUGCCAAUACCACGGUUCGAUGACGGUACCCGCAGAAUAAGCACCGGCUAACUACGUG
RNAcentral lists this ribosomal RNA (484 nucleotides) under uncultured bacterium. RNAcentral's name for it is "partial 16S ribosomal RNA". It matches the Rfam family "Bacterial small subunit ribosomal RNA", at positions 29 to 507 of the family's 1533-position model. The record is from RNAcentral.